CUGGGGUGGAAAUCCUCCAGCAGCAUCAGGCCUCAGUUGCCUCUCAGUUCUGCUGGCUCAGCUACUUGACCACUUUUGGAGUAUGGUGGAGAUGUAAACCCCCUCCAAGGAGAAACACACACCAAAAAGCUUCUACCUGUAGAAUCUGGAAUGCUAAUUUGAGAAUUCCAUGUGUGUUCUGACAUGUCAUAGAUCCUCUAAGCUAACAGGAUUUUUUAUUUUCACUGAAGCAGUUGCACUUAUGACAGAUCUUCAAAACAGAAGACAGAGCUAUCAAAAGCAAAUCUAAAAAGACACUUGGGUAGAUGCUGAGUGGCUGCUGGGUAUAGAUUCCCUACCUGCCUCUGGGAUCACGUGGAUCAUGGGAAUUUUCCUCCUGGCCUUCUGAGUGGCUCAGAUGUGGGCUCCUGACUCCAGCUAAACCCACCAGUGUCUUUUCUGAAGAGUGUGUGGACAAUGACUAGCGAGGGGCCAGCUUUUCUUUGGGGACAGGGUAAGAGCAUUUGGAGUUGGGGGGGACUUUUUCUGCUUGCCUACAGGACAUAGAGAAAGGCAGGUGGCUACUGAGUCCCCGGCUGCAGCUGCCUUUGAGACUGGUAGAACCGGCACCCUUUCUGAAUUCUGAAUCUUCAGUUCUUCCCAUGAUUCUACAGAAGCCUCUUGCUCUUCUUUCGUUGUUGUUUUGUUUCGUCUGAACUAGUUAGAGUUUGAUUUCGGGCACAUGGACCAAGGACACAGUUAAGAAAAUUCAAGAAGAAAGCAUAACCCCUGGUUUGAAAUACACGAAAUUACCAGCACUUCCUGACUCCACAGGUCAUAAUUGUCUGUGUGUGUCUGGCCUUGGGGAGGACCGAGAGAAGAACACGAAAGAGACAAGUGAGGAUGACUGGCUAAGCUCUUCGGAUCAUCCUGUCUGUUAAGGAGGCAGAACUCAUCCUGGCUGCAGGAAGAAACAGACAAUACCAGGAUUGUUCAAGCUAAGGGCUGAGGACUGAACACUAGGGCCCUGCCUCUGGUUGUCCUGCUGUUUCAUUGGCCAAGAGUUCGAAUUCUGCGUUCCUGUCAGCUUGCUAGAACACUGAAGUUAUGUCCCAUGACUAAACAAAAAUAUGAAUAAUUUCCUGCACAUUGGCUACAGCAGCAUAAUUCAGACAAAAGCCUGGUAAACGGUAUUUUUAGACAGGGGCCUUCUAGAACCAAUACAACUGUGUGACCAUGUGACAGUGCAAAUAUUUCUGUCUCUCUGAGCUGUAGUUUCUUAAUCCACAAAACUGACUACAUCUGAGACUGGUAAAACAUACGUGACAACAUUUUCAAACAUGACACGGUGCUGUACAAAUGUACAACAAUUAUGUUGAACUAAGUGUUACCUCAUAUUCUUAAGCUAUCCAAUUCAAUAUAACCUUUGUAUUUUCAGCCUACAAAUUCUGAAACAUGGCCGGGCGGUGGUGGCGCAUGCCUUUAAUCCCAGCACUCGGGAGUCAGAGGCAGGCUGAUCUCUGUGAGUUCGAGGCCAGCCUGGUCUCCAAAGC
Peromyscus californicus insignis is the source of this 1532-nucleotide long non-coding RNA. RefSeq lists it as uncharacterized. NCBI's taxonomy places the organism in Eukaryota, Metazoa, Chordata, Mammalia, Rodentia, Cricetidae. The transcript has 4 exons. The record is from RefSeq and is a predicted model, not a curated record.